AACACAUGCAAGUCGGACGGUAGCACAGAGAGCUUGCUCUUGGGUGACGGAGUGGCGGACGGGUGAGUAAUGUCUGGGGAUCUGCCCGAUAGAGGGGGAUAACCACUGGAAACGGUGGCUAAUACCGCAUAACGUCGCAAGACCAAAGAGGGGGACCUUCGGGCCUCUCACUAUCGGAUGAACCCAGAUGGGAUUAGCUAGUAGGCGGGGUAAUGGCCCACCUAGGCGACGAUCCCUAGCUGGUCUGAGAGGAUGACCAGCCACACUGGAACUGAGACACGGUCCAGACUCCUACGGGAGGCAGCAGUGGGGAAUAUUGCACAAUGGGCGCAAGCCUGAUGCAGCCAUGCCGCGUGUAUGAAAAAGGCCUUCGGGUUGUAAAGUACUUUCAACGGGGAGGAAGGCGAUGUGGUUAAUAACCGCGUCGAUUGACGUUACCCGCAGAAGAAGCACCGGCUAACUCCGUGCCAGCAGCCGCGGUAAUACGGAGGGUGCAAGCGUUAAUCGGAAUUACUGGGCGU
This 521-nucleotide ribosomal RNA is filed under the name uncultured bacterium. RNAcentral describes it as "bacterial SSU rRNA". It matches the Rfam family "Bacterial small subunit ribosomal RNA", at positions 50 to 561 of the family's 1533-position model. The record is from RNAcentral.